UGGUGGAGUGAUUUGUCUGGUUAAUUCCGUUAACGAACGAGACCUCAGCCUGCUAAUUAAUUUCAACAAGGUUGAUUGUUAAAGUAUCUUGGAGGGACUCUCGGUUAUUAAUCGAUGGAAGUCUGAGGUAAUAACA
This 136-nucleotide ribosomal RNA is filed under the name uncultured eukaryote. RNAcentral's name for it is "partial 18S ribosomal RNA". It matches the Rfam family "Eukaryotic small subunit ribosomal RNA", at positions 1299 to 1458 of the family's 1831-position model. The record is from RNAcentral.